RNAcentral lists this ribosomal RNA (433 nucleotides) under uncultured bacterium. RNAcentral describes it as "partial 16S ribosomal RNA". It matches the Rfam family "Bacterial small subunit ribosomal RNA", at positions 29 to 507 of the family's 1533-position model. The record is from RNAcentral.
AACGAACGCUGGCGGCAGGCUUAACACAUGCAAGUCGAGCGCAUCCUUCGGGGUGAGCGGCGGACGGGUGAGUAACGCGUGGGAACGUGCCCUCUUCUACGGAAUAGCCUCGGGAAACUGAGAGUAAUGCCGUAUACGCCCGCAAGGGGAAAGAUUUAUCGGAGGAGGAUCGGCCCGCGUUGGAUUAGGUAGUUGGUGGGGUAACGGCCUACCAAGCCGACGAUCCAUAGCUGGUUUGAGAGGAUGAUCAGCCACACUGGGACUGAGACACGGCCCAGACUCCUACGGGAGGCAGCAGUGGGGAAUCUUGGGCAAUGGGGGCAACCCUGAUCCAGCCAUGCCGCGUGAUCGAUGAAGGCCUUAGGGUUGUAAAGAUCUUUCAGCUGGGAAGAUAAUGACGGUACCAGCAGAAGAAGCCCCGGCUAACUCCGUG